RNAcentral lists this ribosomal RNA (301 nucleotides) under uncultured bacterium. RNAcentral describes it as "partial 16S ribosomal RNA". It matches the Rfam family "Bacterial small subunit ribosomal RNA", at positions 509 to 807 of the family's 1533-position model. The record is from RNAcentral.
CAGUAGCCGCGGGAAUACGUAGGGUGCAAGCGUUAAUCGGAAUUACUGGGCGUAAAGCGUGCGCAGGCGGUUCGGAAAGAAAGAUGUGAAAUCCCAGGGCUUAACCUUGGAACUGCAUUUUUAACUCCCGGACUAGAGUAUGUCAGAGGGGGGUGGAAUUCCACGUGUAGCAGUGAAAUGCGUAGAUAUGUGGAGGAACACCGAUGGCAAAGGCAGCCCCCUGGGAUAAUACUGACGCUCAUGCACGAAAGCGUGGGGAGCAAACAGGAUUAGAUACCCCCGUAGUCCCUGUCUCUUAUAC